RNAcentral lists this ribosomal RNA (376 nucleotides) under uncultured bacterium. RNAcentral describes it as "bacterial SSU rRNA". It matches the Rfam family "Bacterial small subunit ribosomal RNA", at positions 28 to 403 of the family's 1533-position model. The record is from RNAcentral.
GACGAACGCUGGCGGCGUGCUUAACACAUGCAAGUCGAACGGAAAGGCCCUGCUUUUGUGGGGUGCUCGAGUGGCGAACGGUGAGUAACACGUGAGUAACCUGCCCUUGACUUUGGGAUAACCUUCAGGAAACUGGGGCUAAUACCGGAUAGGAGCUCCUGCUGCAUGGUGGGGUUGGAAAGUUUCGGCGGUUGGGGAUGGACUCGCGGCUUAUCAGCUUGUUGGUGGGGUAGUGGCUUACCAAGGCUUUGACGGGUAGCCGGCCUGAGAGGGUGACCGGCCACAUUGGGACUGAGAUACGGCCCAGACUCCUACGGGAGGCAGCAGUGGGGAAUAUUGCACAAUGGGCGGAAGCCUGAUGCAGCAACGCCGCGUG